RNAcentral lists this long non-coding RNA (834 nucleotides) under Mus musculus (house mouse). RNAcentral's name for it is "long non-coding RNA chr3:137914435-137915269". Lineage: Eukaryota; Metazoa; Chordata; Mammalia; Rodentia; Muridae. The record is from RNAcentral.
UGUAUUUUCAGAUACUUCAUUAAAAAUUAAAUAAACAGGGCUGGUGAGAUGGCUCAGUGGGUAAGAGCACCCGACUGCUCUUCCGAAGGUCCAAAGUUCAAAUCCCAGCAACCACAUGGUGGCUCACAACCACCCGUAAUGAGAUCUGAUGCCCUCUUCUGGAGUGUCUGAAGACAGCUACAGUGUACUUACAUAUAAUAAAUAAAUAAAUCUUUAAAAAAAAAAAAAAAAAAAAAAAAAAAAAGAAAAGAAAAGCAGCUCAACUGGAAAUAUUGAAAAAAAAAAAAAAAAUUAAAUAAACAGCUCCCACUUUUUAAGCAGUGAAAUGUUUCUUGGUUGACCAGAAAGCCAAAUGAGCCAUCAUCUCAAUUAUCCAAGUAUUUAAACAAAGGACAACAUGGUUAAAGAGGAAUGAAUGUCUUUAUUUAGCUUCUCCACACAAAGCUUGGUUUUAGUUCUGGAUAUUUUGCUAUCCAUCUUUCUAUUGAGUGAAGAAAACUGAGAGGAAACCCAGAGCACUUUUUAUUAUUUAUAUAGAAAAAAUGUAUGAAAAUGAGCAGCCUGAAUUUUAAUCAUGGAAUAGUUACAACCCCCUUUCUAGUAGCCAUAUCAGAAUAGUUAAAAAUCCUUACAAUUCUCUGUAAACCAUUGAAAGUAAAAGAAUAACCAGACAACAACCUCCACAUUCCCACCUCUCCCAUCCAGGUAUCCAUGGCAAAUAUCAGUCAGGCAUGGCAGCUCAUACAUGUAGUCCCAACACGCGGGAGACCAAGGGAGGCAGACACAUGGAUUUGAGGCUAGCUGGGGUACCUUGUAAGACUCUGUCUCAAAGAC